Long non-coding RNA from Triticum urartu, 2171 nucleotides. RefSeq lists it as uncharacterized. NCBI's taxonomy places the organism in Eukaryota, Viridiplantae, Streptophyta, Magnoliopsida, Poales, Poaceae. The record is from RefSeq and is a predicted model, not a curated record.
UCAAAAAUAACCGCCCGCACGACCUCUCGCCCCCUCCUCCUCCCGCGCCGUUCUCCGCCCCACUGUUCCUCCCGCGGAGCCGCCCGCCGCGCCCUUCGCCGCGGUAGCUGCCGCCGGAGCCACCCAUCGCGCCCUUUUCCGCGGGAGCCGCCGCAGGUCAUUGCGGGAGUAUUCUCGGGAGCCGCUGCGGGAGCCGCCUGUCGCGCCCUUCGCUGCGGUAGUCGCCGCCGGAGCCGUCCGCAAUAGGCGUCGUUGGCAUGCCACCAGAGGCCCGAUCUGGGCGAGAGGAACCAUCGCCUCGCUCCUUCGAUGCCGGGUCGGGAUCCGCUGGCUCGGAUCUACGGAUGUUCCUCCUCCGGUUAGCCGUGCCAGAGCCCUCCUCCUCCCUUCUCUCUCCCUCUCCUCACUAAUCUCUCUUCCUCUCUCCAUUCCCGUGCUGCAGGACACCAUGGCCAUAGACCAAGCUCCGCCAGACCUUCCCUCGCGACUGUCGGCCUUCCUCUAGACAACAACGGCGAUGCCCAGGUCUGCCCCGCCGCCAUUCGUUUCUGCCUUGCCUAGCCGCACUGCGUAUCCAGACCACCUCCCCAGAUAGCGCCGCCGUCGUCCCUAAGGCGGCGCCGGUCUCGGCCGCGGCGCAGGAGGUGCUGCCGUCGCCGUCCAUGUUGUCAUCUGGCUGGACCAUCGAGGAUCUCCUGCAGUUCUCCGUAGGAACACCGAUCAUGUAUCACAAAUCAAUCAGGAAAAAGAAAAGUGAGGUGCAACUCAAGCAAAUAAACGGUACAAGAAUGAAGAAGCUAGGUGCAACAAGGUGAUCGAGCAGGUUGCUAAGCUUUGCAAUUCCGGGGCAUGUGGCACUAAUUAUUCGGUGGGUUGGGCGCAACAUGGCACUCAGCAGCCCAUAGGAAAGAAAUGGUUCUCUAAGUUGGGAUGGUGUUGUGAUUAAUUGUUGGCUUGUUGCCAUCAGAUUUACCUACAUGAAGAAAUGCAUGGUGCAGAUGGUGUUACUUGCUAUUCUAGGUGUGGUGAUCUCAACAUUUUUGCUUGACGCUGCUAUAAGCUUACUUUUCCAUAUGCCUGGAACUGGAAAACAUUGUUGUUGUUCAGUGGACGCUUAGUGCAACCGGUGAUGUUACUAUCAUUGCUCUUCUGAAAGACCUAGGCGCAAGCAACAAUUUCAGUAUGAUAAUCAAAGGAGAAUCCUUAAUGAACGACGGUGUUGCUCUGGGCCUUGUAUUGGAAUUGCAUCUCUACUAUGGAUGGGCUAUAUUUUCGAUGAUACAAUCAUACAGAUUUCACUUACCCUCGCAGUCAGAUAUAUUGCUUUCUUCACUGUAAGAUAAUCAGAUAACAGACAUAUCGAGGCUCUUACAUGUCUAUUUUUAUCUCUAGAAGUACAUGAUUUGCUCAGUGUUUUGAAAUGGUUUAUAGCUCCAGUAAUAGAAUGGUUGUCAAGCAACCCUUUUUGCAACACUGGGAUGCUGUUUUAAUGGCUUGUGAUGGCAAUCCAGGGUCAUUUCUGGAUGCAUUCAUGUGUGCCGAUGAGGUACCCAUGUACUCAUGUAAUAUUAAAUUUUUUAUGUUGUCAUUUUCUUACCCUGGCAGUACGACUAUGUAUAAGGUACUCUGAGACUGCUAGAAAAGCAUCUUUGCUUUUAACUAUUUCCCCAUGAAAGUAUGUACUAUUUAUCUCUGAUAUUGUGUGUUGAUCAUUGAACAACUUAAUAAUUUUAAGUAAUGACUCUGGAUAAAGAUGACAAAGCAGAGAACAUAAUCUUGGUGAAGGCAUCGCAACGGAGAUGGGACGGUGUUAAUCUUCAAUCAGUAUUACAUAUUAGUGAUCUUGAAUGCAUGUUUUUCAUAGUUUACUAUGUGUGCAUGAUUGGGAGUAGGUGCUUCUUGGAAAAUAAUAUUGAUUGUCUUAUCAUUUCAUUUUCUCAUUAUAUAUUUUUUGUAUUGGUCAAGACGUGCAUUGCACGUGCAAGCUUACUAGUUACACUCCAAGUUGACGGCUGAGUGACCGAACGGAAAUCUCCAUGAGACUAGUCACAGUGGGGAAUAACUUAGAGUAGUCACAGUGUGUAUUAACAGUUAUACAUCACUUUAUUUAUUAGCCUAUAGACUCAUCUUUUUUGAUAUAUGUGAUGUUACAGUAACUAGCUAUGUUACUA